Molecule: long non-coding RNA, 274 nt
Organism: Zophobas morio
Lineage: Eukaryota; Metazoa; Arthropoda; Insecta; Coleoptera; Tenebrionidae
Exons: 3
Source: RefSeq, a predicted model, not a curated record
UCGAAAGAUAGAAAUUUGCGUUCGCUGAGGGAUUUACGCGGCUGUCAUGUACCAGUUUUAGAGCUUAUUCAUGAGAAGGCGUCAAGUUCCAUAAAUAGUAGGUAUAAGCUACCUAAAAGUAAACAACUGUUUUUUAUGCACUACUGUCCGACUUAUUACCAACUUCAUAUUCAUGUGACGAACGUGGACAACCCCCACCGCGGUGCCAGCGUGGGAAGGGCGCAUUUACUAUCAACUGUUAUCGAGAAUCUUAAGUUAUGCCCAUUUUUCUAUA